CGGAAAUCCACAACCACCCAGCUUCACGUGCUGCUUCCUGUCAGACCGGAAGUCUGUCAUCCACUUGGAGGUGGAGUCGGGCACGUGCAGCUGGGAGAGUUUGUCCUGCAGCAGAGACGGGAUGAUGGUGUUGAAGGCAGAGCUGAAGUCCACAAACAGGAUCCUGGCGUAGGUUCCUGGGGAGUCCAGAUGCUGGAGGAUGUAGUGUAGGGCAAUGUUGACAGCAUCGUCCACAGACCUGUUGGCUCUGUAGGCGAACUGCAGGGGGUCCAGGAUGGGGUCGGUGAGGGACUUCAGGUGGGUCAGGACUAGCCGUUCAAAAGACUUCAUGACUACAGAGGUCAGGGCGACAGGCCUGUAGUCAUUGAGUCCUGUAAUCCUGGGCUUCUUGGGAACAGGGAUGAUGGUGGAGGCCUUGAAGCAGGCUGGUACGUGGCAUGUCUCCAGGGAGGUGUUGAAGAUGUCAGUGAACACUGUGCCAGCUGGUCAGCACAAUGCUUCAGGGUGUGUGUGAUAAGGCAUAAGUAGUAAUAAUAAUUAUCACUGAUCCAAUAAUAAAUCAAUGAUCUAUACUGAAUGGUAUAAAGAUGACCUUUUAUAAUAUAUAUGAUAUUAUUUCCCUUUUAAGUCCUAUUGUCAUCUGAGCAUGCAGGUUAGUAUUUGCAUUUGUGAGUGGUAGGGUGGUAGCGUGCUGUUGUGCAAUUUUAAAGAAGUGAAUUUGCUGAUUCACUGCCCUAUAGCUGAGAAAAACACAUUCUCCAUCAGUGGAAAUGGGGAAAUUGGGUUGAGGGCCUUUAGUCUUUCGGUGUUUAUGGAUGCACACGUGUAGGCGUUACUAAAUGCAAAUGCUGUACACAGCUUCAGAAAGGAGGCUGAACAGAAGGAGGAGUUCCGCAUUAGAGCGGAAGAGGGGAAACGCUUACCCUAACUUUACUGGACACAGGGCUCUCCUUGUUGUUGCCCAAGACGACGACAUUCAGGCUAAUUUACAGGAAGAGGAGGGGAAUUGGAGGAGGAGGAAAAUAAGGAGGAAUAGGAAGCUGAGGGCAGAAGGUGACUAACAGUGACUGUCACUCAGCCUGCUGCAGCCUGUAGGCGGAGGGGGGAGUGCCGUCACAACUAGUGAGACGGCACAUGAAUGCACUAGUCGGUUGGUCCCAGUCGCCAAACAACUGGCAACUGUCACGGAGUGUGUGCAGGGUUAAACACGUGGAGGAGCAGAUCUGUCUUGGCUACACUAUGUUGUCUUUGGGAUAGUUGAAGAGUUGCCGUUCGCACCGCCAUCGCCUGUCUUCAUCUCUCUCUCUGUCCCGCGACGUCCUGGAGAUUGACAUCCACUAUCGCCAGCAUCCCGAUAUGUAGCCAGCAGCACAAGCAGAGCGUAUUUCCCCCCUUUGUGAACUCCUUUUCCUCUUAAACAGGUAAUGCACAUGUGUCUAUAUGUGUCUGUCUCAGUUCCUAAAGUGCUUCUUUAUUAUACAGUAGAAAUAGUAUGCCCAUUCAAUAGGGGUGUAACGAUUCAUUCACUGAAUCGAUUAAUUGAUUUAUAUUCCUGCGAUCCAACUGAAUCGAUCUGUGCUCCGCAAAUCGGCCUUCCGGACGACAUAUAUCGAUUACAAAUCGAUUGAAAUGGUACAUAAUCGAUUGUAUCGAUACUUGGAAACUGCACAUUGGAUUUAAGUACAAAAACGGUGUGGAUGUGUGGAUGUGUGGUUUUUUUGUUUUUUUUUAGCACUUAGACACGUUAAACGUUACUCGAUUCAGUCUGCCUCUCUGUGACGUCAGUACGCAGCGGCUGCAGCCGCUCGAAACUCUGAACAACAACAAAACACAGCGUGGAGGACACGAAUGCGAGCGAGACAUUUACAAACCAACUUAUCGAUCCAGCGUGUGGAAACAUUUUGGCUUUUGCAAACACGGAGGUGUUCUAAAUAAGUCGGUCGCUGUUUGUAGAAUAUGUAGAAGCCAAAUAAAAAAACACGGAAACGCGACAAAUCUUUCUGGCUAUCUACUAAGGCGCCGUGGGAUUAAACAACGCCGACAGUCAGGACCUCUAGCAGCGUUAUCGCUGCAGCAGCAGCAGAAGGUAACUCCAGCUCUGCAGACACCUCAGGCCUCGCCAGCACUAAACUCAACAUCACAGUAACAAUUGCCAAGUUUAUCUGUAAAGACAUGCGACCCUACAAUGUGGUUGAAAAUCCGGGGUUCUGUGAAUUGAUCCAAACAUUGUGUAAUUAUUGUGUAAUGUUUACAUUGAAAAUGGCACUUGAUUCAAAUAAAAGGUUAAUACAUUUGUCAUCAAUUGUUGUUUGCUUGUUUAUAAUAUCCAU
Long non-coding RNA from Gasterosteus aculeatus aculeatus (three-spined stickleback), 2330 nucleotides. NCBI's taxonomy places the organism in Eukaryota, Metazoa, Chordata, Actinopteri, Perciformes, Gasterosteidae. The record is from Ensembl.